RNAcentral lists this ribosomal RNA (345 nucleotides) under Triticum aestivum (bread wheat). RNAcentral describes it as "partial small subunit ribosomal RNA". Lineage: Eukaryota; Viridiplantae; Streptophyta; Magnoliopsida; Poales; Poaceae. The record is from RNAcentral.
AUGAGCAAUUUUGCAGGAGUUCCUACCACAAAGAUGAGCAGAAGCAGGGGAGUUCGCUGGGAUGGAGGCGCUGGUGGCCUCGCCAUGGCCGUUGAGGAGGUGGGGGUAGAGGAGUUGAGCGCUGGCCAGGGCCAGGCGGGGCAGGAGGUGAGCGCUGGUCUGGAGGAGCCCGACAGAGAAGCAGGGACGACGAGGGGCCUGGCGGAGGGCCAAAGAGGAGCGCUGGCAUGGAGGAGCCCGACCGAGGGGCAAAGAGGGGCGCUGUCCUGGAGGAGCCCGACGGAGGGGCCUGGAGCAGCGCUGGCCUCGCGGAUGGAGGAGGAAGACGAUCUGUUUUCAAACUAG